Molecule: small nuclear RNA, 107 nt
Filed under: Octopus vulgaris (common octopus)
Lineage: Eukaryota; Metazoa; Mollusca; Cephalopoda; Octopoda; Octopodidae
Also listed under: 1 other name
Source: RNAcentral
GUACUAGCUACGGUGGUACAUAUUCUAGAAUGGGAAUGAUACAGGGAUGAUUAGCAUGGCCCUUGCGCAAAGAUGACAUGCAAAUUCAUGAAGCAUUCCAUAUUUUU